Molecule: ribosomal RNA, 482 nt
Filed under: uncultured Alphaproteobacteria bacterium
Lineage: Bacteria; Pseudomonadati; Pseudomonadota; Alphaproteobacteria
Description: bacterial SSU rRNA
Rfam family: Bacterial small subunit ribosomal RNA
Source: RNAcentral
AGAGUUUGAUCCUGGCUCAGGACGAACGCUGGCGGCAGGCCUAACACAUGCAAGUCGAACGAGAAGCUGGCUUCGGUCAGUGGAGAGUGGCGCACGGGUGAGUAACGCGUGGGAAUUUGCCUUUCGGUACGGGAUAACGUCUGGAAACGGGCGCUAAUACCGUAUGAUGUCUACGGACCAAAGAUUUAUCGCCGAGAGAGGAGCCCGCGUAGGAUUAGGUAGUUGGUGGGGUAAUGGCUCACCAAGCCGACGAUCCUUAGCUGUUCUGAGAGGAAGAUCAGCCACACUGGGACUGAGACACGGCCCAGACUCCUACGGGAGGCAGCAGUGGGGAAUAUUGGACAAUGGGCGCAAGCCUGAUCCAGCCAUGCCGCGUGAGUGAAGAAGGCCCUAGGGUUGUAAAGCUCUUUCGCCAGGGAAGAUAAUGACGGUACCUGGUAAAGAAGUCCCGGCUAACUCCGUGCCAGCAGCCGCGGUAAUAC